RNAcentral lists this ribosomal RNA (471 nucleotides) under uncultured bacterium. RNAcentral describes it as "partial 16S ribosomal RNA". It matches the Rfam family "Bacterial small subunit ribosomal RNA", at positions 28 to 507 of the family's 1533-position model. The record is from RNAcentral.
GACGAACGCUGGCGGCGCGCCUAACACAUGCAAGUCGAACGAGCGAGAGAGAGCUUGCUUUCUCGAGCGAGUGGCGAACGGGUGAGUAACGCGUGAGGAACCUGCCUCAAAGAGGGGGACAACAGUUGGAAACGACUGCUAAUACCGCAUAAGCCCACGGCUCGGCAUCGAGCAGGGGGAAAAGGAGCGAUCCGCUUUGAGAUGGCCUCGCGUCCGAUCAGCUAGUUGGUGGGGUAGCGGCCCACCAAGUCGACGAUCGGUAGCCGGCCUGAGGGGUUGAGUGGACAGGCUGGGACGGAGAUACGGCACGGACGAAGCCGGGAGGCAGGAGUGGGGAAGAUUGGAUGAUGGGCGGAGGGAUGAUGGAGCAAAGCGGCGCGCGGGAGGAAGGGCAGCGGGUUGGAUACCGCUUUCGCGUGGGAGGAAGAGUGAGUGACGGUAAUGGGUAAAGAAGCACCGGCUAACUACGUG